GUCCUAGCCUUAAACGAUGAUGACUUGGUGUGUCGGGUUUCUAGUCCCGAUGUGCCGGAGCUAACGCGUUAAGUCAUCCGCCUGGGGAGUACGGUCGCAAGACUGAAACUCAAAGGAAUUGACGGGGACCCGCACAAGCGGUGGAGCAUGUGGUUUAAUUCGACGCAACGCGAAGAACCUUACCUGGGCUAGAAUGCGAAGGACGCAAGUGCAAAACAUCUGCUUCUGGGGUAAAACUCAGACCUGAAGCAAGGUGCUGCAUGGCUGUCGU
RNAcentral lists this ribosomal RNA (271 nucleotides) under uncultured bacterium. RNAcentral describes it as "partial 16S ribosomal RNA". It matches the Rfam family "Bacterial small subunit ribosomal RNA", at positions 793 to 1055 of the family's 1533-position model. The record is from RNAcentral.